RNAcentral lists this ribosomal RNA (336 nucleotides) under uncultured fungus. Its description in RNAcentral is "eukaryotic LSU rRNA". The record is from RNAcentral. Lineage: Eukaryota; Fungi.
AGAGUUAAACAGUACGUGAAAUUGCUAAAAGGGAAACGCUUGAGAUCAGUGAUGUCGCUGGGAAAUCAGCUACCCAGUCAUGGGUGGUGCACUUUCUCAGUGGCGAGUCAACAUCAGUUUGGUUCGGGAUAAAAAGCUUUGAGAAGGUAGCCCCUCGGGGUGUUAUAGCUCAAGGUCAUGUCUCGGGCUGGACUGAGGUCUGCAGUGUUAUUUGGGUAGCCAGUCGCCUCUUGAAACCCUGUUUUAGACAGCAUGCUGACUACGACUUGGUCUAGGGAGCACGGUUGGGAUUCCACACCAACACUUAGGAUGUUGACGAAAUGGUUUCAAACGACC